This 2293-nucleotide long non-coding RNA is filed under the name Canis lupus familiaris (dog). RNAcentral's name for it is "lncRNA (ENSCAFG00000056039.1, ENSCAFG00805028132.1, ENSCAFG00845006580.1)". The record is from RNAcentral. Lineage: Eukaryota; Metazoa; Chordata; Mammalia; Carnivora; Canidae.
GUAGUGCUGGUAUCAAAGAUUUUUUUUUUCCCACUUGAAAAAGUAGUUCAUGAACAUGUAAAAAAGAAAACAAUAAAACUAUUCAAACAGUACCAAAGAGUAGGUAGUGAAAAUAGGUUUCUUUUUCACUCUAGCUUGUCUUAUUUUCUCAUUAAAAUUAGAAAUGUCUUUGUGUCCUUGUAGUUUUCUGUGUAUAUAGAAAGAAGUAUGGCUCCCUUAUUUUAACGCAAAUUGGAAUUUGCUACAUACUCUGUUCUUCAUUGUGCUUUUUCAAAGAUCUUUUGAUACAGAACUAAAUCGAUAAACGUUAAAGAUUUCAUCCUCCUGGUCCAAUAAAGUAUAUUAGCAUUGCCUUAAAAUUUCCACCUAGUAUUUUUAAAUAAAUAUUAAUGAAUAAGCUCAAAGAUAUGUUUACAGAGCCAUAGAUUACAGUCUCCUGCAUACUUACGUAAAGAUGUUAACUGUUUGAUAGAAAAAUGUGAAAGUCAAAAAUUUUCCUUUAAACUGACAUGUGUUUAGGGAAACAAGACUCAAACCUUUCCUGUAUGUUUCUUGCUAGCCCUUUUGCUCUGCUUUUAUAGGACUGAGCUAUAUAUAAUAUGAUAGAAACAGUGCUCUUAUUUCUUUGUCUUUCCCAUUACUGUACAUGAUUUUUCAACUUACAGCACCUUUGGUUGUAUAUGUGUAGACGCUGGCCAGGAUGAAUUUAGAUUUGUAACAUUGAUUCGAUGUCAGAUUACAUAAGCAUGGUGCAUUGGAAAAACAACAAAAUGAGACCAGUGAUUGAAAGUUUUAUUCUGGUUCUACAAAUGAUACAACUCCUUCAACUUAAAUUUUUUGUUGUUACUGUUAAAAUGUGAAAGAUAUAUUUGUAUAAUCGUAGACAAAGUCUUUGAACUUUUUGGAUCUUAAUUAAAUUUACUUAGAAGGUGGUAGUAUCUGGAUUAACUGCAGUUUUUAUGAUUUGUGAGAAUUGAUUCAUUUGUGAUAAAGUUCUUUGAUGUCUCCAUUUUUAAUAGGGCUUUGAUCAAUUGGGAAAUAUUAAUGGACAGAAAUAAAGUAGAUGAUGGUUAUCUAACUUGCAUACUCUUCAGUAUGCUGGUUUUCACAACUGAUCUUUACCUACUAGUAAAUGGCAUGCACUGCAGUUUAUCACCUUCUUCUGGUCUGCCUGCCUUUAUGAUAAGAGAUAAAAGCAGUUAUCUAUUCAGGUCCACCAAUAUAAUGUUUGGUUUGCUUUCAAGCUACUUGAACAAGUCAAAGUAACUGCUUUUGCAGUUAUUUGUAGAAAUAUCUUCAGAAAUAAAAAUAUGAAGGUUAGGGGUAUUAGGCUAUUCUUUAUUUAAUUUCUACAGAGACGCCCUAGAGAAUAUAUCUACAUAAGUAGAAACUUCCUUCAUUCAGAUAACUAUAAAGGUGGUACCAGAAUACUUUGUAAUAUUGGUGAUGAAAAUUAUUUCUCGUGUCAAAGGGUAUUUGUGCUAUUUUAAAGCAUGUUGCUGUUCCGCUAAAUACUGGACUAAUCAGUCAGUAAUAAAGUCCAGUGUAUUUCUACUUUUCUUACCAGCUUAGCUUUGACUCCUGUGACCCUCUAUUACCUGAUCUUGUUUAUAUCACCAUACUUGAUAGCCAGUAGUCUUCUGCAGUUUCUGUAGCUGUUAACACCUCGAAUCCCAACUUAGGUUAAUAUCACUAAAUAUAUUACCCUAAAGGACACACAAACCAACGUAUGUACAGACUCUCAGAGUGAAACCUUCUACUCUGUGCCUUAGAACAUAUUUAAACAUAUUUAUAAGCACAUAGCUUAUACACCUGUGGACAGAGUUGUCAGCAAGAAGUUGUGGAGAACUUUCAUAGCAAAUCCUAAAACUAAGUACUUUGUUUUCAUAAUUAGGUCCAUAUCACACCUAGGCUGACCUUAAGAAUUUUUAGGUCUGCUGGAGGGUCUGGAGAUGAGUGAAAAGGAAUUUCUGCCACUGUUUGUUGAUGUCUCCUCAAUACUUUUCUUUCUUCUUCCAUAAUUUGUUUUUCAGCAUACCAGAACUUUCAUCAUAAUAUACUUGGUCUUGAUAGAAUCUUAACAAAAAUAAAUUAAAAUGUGUGAUGGUCUCUGGUACUCUCUAUGCCCUAAUCCAGUUUAAAUGAUGCAUUUGGAACUUGGGAGUGGAAUUAAAUCAUAUUAUUUGAUUUCAGAAUUGUAUUAAUCUUGCUUCAGUGAAUGCAGCAGCAAUAAAAAAGGUACAAAAAUAGAAGUGAACGAUUUAGCAAAAAUGGCAACUGAAAAAUAUAUGAA